AUACGUAGGUGGCAAGCGUUGUCCGGAUUUAUUGGAUUUAAAGGGUGCGUAGGCGGUUCUUUAAGUCAGUGGUGAAAUACAGCCGCUUAACGGUUGAGGUGCCAUUGAUACUGAAGAACUUGAGUACAGACGAGGUAGGCGGAAUUGACGGUGUAGCGGUGAAAUGCUUAGAUAUCGUCAAGAACACCGAUAGCGAAGGCAGCUUACUAGACUGUAACUGACGCUGAGGCACGAAAGUGUGGGGAUCAAACAGGAUUAGAUACCCUGGUAGUCCACACUGUAAACGAUGAUUACUCGAUGUUGGCGAUACACAGCCAGCGUCUUAGCAAAAGCGAUAAGUAAUCCACCUGGGGAGUACGCUGGCAACAGUGAA
This 373-nucleotide ribosomal RNA is filed under the name uncultured bacterium. RNAcentral's name for it is "bacterial SSU rRNA". It matches the Rfam family "Bacterial small subunit ribosomal RNA", at positions 523 to 898 of the family's 1533-position model. The record is from RNAcentral.